GGAAAAAUGAGGAACAGACAAGUUAAAGCAGGGGUCCCCAACCCCAGGGCUGCAGACCAGUACCUGUCUGUGGCCUGUUAGGAACUGGGCAGCACAGCACGAGCAUGGGACAUUCAGAACUGGGAAGGACUUAAUACAGACUCAUGAAAGUUCUUUAAUCUUAUCAAGACUAUACUGUUGCCAUCUGUGAUACUGAUAACUAGCCUAUAAUGAGUGCCUGCUACGUGCCAGGCACUGCGCUAAGAAUUUUGCACACAUGAUUGAUAAUCACUACAUUAAUAACAAGGUAAGUUGACCACCUUUAACAGAUGAGACAACUAGGCUGAAAAAGGAGAUUAAGUAACAUUCCUGAGGUUACACAGCUAGUAAGUGAUAAAACCUGGAUUUAACUUCAAGUUUGUCUGACUCUAAAUCCUAGACCCUUCUCAAUAAAUAAAGUUUGUCUUUCGGCUGGGUGCGGUGGCUUACGCCUGUAAUCCCAGCACUUUGGGAGGCUGAGGCGGGCGGAUCACUUGAGGUCAGGAGUUUGAGAACAGCUUGGCCAACAUGGCGAAACCCCAUCUGUACUAAAAAUACAAAAAUUAGCUGGGUGUGGUGGUGCACACCUGUAGUCCCAGC
This 618-nucleotide long non-coding RNA is filed under the name Homo sapiens (human). Its description in RNAcentral is "PREDICTED lncRNA (TCONS_00200596)". The record is from RNAcentral. Lineage: Eukaryota; Metazoa; Chordata; Mammalia; Primates; Hominidae.